This is a long non-coding RNA of Macadamia integrifolia, 617 nucleotides long. RefSeq lists it as uncharacterized. Lineage: Eukaryota; Viridiplantae; Streptophyta; Magnoliopsida; Proteales; Proteaceae. The record is from RefSeq and is a predicted model, not a curated record. The transcript has 2 exons.
GUUAAGGACGGAGGUCACGAAAUGGGAGACGGAGACGGAGAAAUUAGUGGCUAAGCAUUUCGCAGAGAUAGCGGAGUGGGAAACGGAAAAGGAUAGAAUAGAGGCUAAGCAUAUGGCAGAGAUAGGGAAGUGGAAGGCGAAGAAAGCGAAAGUAGAGGCUAAGCAUUUGACAGAGGUAAGGCAAUGGAAGACGAAGAAGGCGAAAAUAGAGGCUCAGCUGUCCAAGAUAACGUCGAAGAUUGCCAAUCAGGAUAAGAUUAUGGCUCAGCUAUCGAAGACAAAGUCGAAGAUUGCCAAAAAAAAAGAGAUUAUGUGUUGGAGCUCGCAAAGUUACUGGAGCUGACCAUAAUAGUGGCUAAUAUAGUGAGGUAGCGGCAAAGUGGAAGGCGGAGACGACAGAACUAUUUGCUAAUAUGGAGAAGACAGAGUGGUCUACAGAGUAUCGGCCGGGGUUCAUGAAGUGGGAGCCGGAGAUGGCAAAACUAUGGGUUAGUAUGGCGAAGAUGGCGACAAAAGCUGAAACACUUGUGACUAAUAUGGUGAAGAAGGUGUAGAUGGAUAUGCGCUGUAGCGUAGUUAUAGAUCUGAUAAAUAUAAAAAAAAAAAACGUUUUUUAA